This 497-nucleotide ribosomal RNA is filed under the name uncultured bacterium. RNAcentral's name for it is "SSU rRNA". It matches the Rfam family "Bacterial small subunit ribosomal RNA", at positions 26 to 496 of the family's 1533-position model. The record is from RNAcentral.
AGAACGAACGCUGGCGGCGUGGAUAAGACAUGCAAGUCGAGCGCUGAUUAAAGGGUAGCAAUAUCUUUUAAUUGGAGCGGCGCAAGGGUGCGUAACACGUGGGUAAUUUGCCAUGAAGUUGGGGAUAACUUGCUGAAAGGCGAGCUAAUACCGAAUGUGGCCCGACGGAGACAUCUCUGUUUGGCUAAAGCUGGGGACCGCAAGGCCUGACGCUUCAUGAUAAACCCGCGGCCUAUCAGCUAGUUGGUGAGGUAACGGCCCACCAAGGCUAAGACGGGUAGCUGGUCUGAGAGGACGACCAGCCACACUGGAACUGAGAGACGGUCCAGACACCUACGGGUGGCAGCAGUCGAGAAUUUUUCACAAUGGGGAAACCCUGAUGGAGCGACGCCGCGUGGGGAUGAAUGGCUUCGGCCCGUAAACCCUCGUCAUUUGCGAACAAACCUUUUCACUUAAUACGUGGAGAAUUGAUUGUAGCGUAGAAGAGGAAGGGACGG